UUGCAACCUGAACUCAGGCGUGAUUACCCGCUGAACUUAAGCAUAUCAUUUAGCGGAGGAAAAGAAACUAACAAGGAUUCCCUAGUAACGGCGAGUGAACGGGGAGAAGCCCAGCGCUGAAUCUUUCGGUGUUACACCGUUAAGAAAUGUAGCGUAUAGGUGUGGUUUUCAGUUUGUGCUACUUAUCCAAAGUCCCUUUGAUAGGGGCCACAUUCCCGAGGGUGCGAGACCUGUGCGGAUAGUGGAGCAAGCUGUACGAUCAUACCUUGGAGUCGGGUUGCUUGAAAGUGCAGCCUAAAGUGGGUGAUAAACUUCAUCUAAGGCUAAAUAUAGACGCGAAUUCGAUAGCAAACAAGUACUGUGAAGGAAAGUUGCAAAGAACUUUGAAGAGAGUUCAAGAGAACGUGAAAUCGCUGGAGUGGAAACGGAGAGUUGACGUAGUCCGGUGACUAAGUUUGCCGAAAUCGCUUAAUUGUGAUUAAGGUGAAUGUAUGUUGCCUAUGGCUGCGCUGACAGCACUGGUUGUACGUUCGAACCGUUUUCGUUGCCCAAUUUUCGAAUUGGUGUCUUGUUUACAGGUAGGUUUGUUAUGACUAGUGUUUUAUCCUGUUUUAUGCAGGGUGUCAGUGUGAAGGUCGACCACCUCUCCGACCCGUCUUGAAACACGGACCGAGGAGUGUAACUUGUACGCGAGUCAAAGGGUGGAAAACCCCAAGGCGCAAUGAAAGUAAAGGUCGGUUAACCGACUGACAUGGGAUCCGUUUCGUUUUGAAGCGGCGCACCAUGGCCCUGUCUUGUCUGCUUGCAGAUGGGCAGCGGUAGAGCGUACAGGUUGCGACCCGAAAGAUGGUGAACUAUGCCUGAGCAGGACGAAGUCAGAGGAAACUCUGGUGGAAGUCCGUAUCGGUUCUGACGUGCAAAUCGAUCGAUAGACUUGGGUAUAGGGGCGAAAGACUAAUCGAACCAUCUAGUAGCUGGUUCCUCGAAGUUUCCCCCAGGAUAGCUGGAGUUCAUUGCGGUUAUAUCCGGUAAAGCGAAUGAUUAGAGGACUUGGGGUCGAAACGACCUCAACCUAUUCUCAAACUUUCAAUGGGUAUGUUGUCUCGGUUUCUUUGUUGAACUGUUGACACGAACGCGAACUCCAAGUGGGCCAUUUUGGUAAGCAGAACUGGCGCUGUGGGAUGAACCAAACGUUGGGUUAAGGUGCCUAACUUUUCGCUCAUGAGACCCCAUAAAGGCGUUGGUUGAUAUAGACAGCAGGACGGUGGCCAUGGAAGUCGGUACCCGCUAAGGAGUGUGUAACAACUCACCUGCCGAAUCAACUAGCCCUGAAAAUGGAUGGCGCUUGAGCGAGAGACCUAUACCCAACCGUUGCUGGCUUGUGCGUGCCUGUCGCCUGGCUGCAACGAGUAGGAGGUCGUGGCGGUUGCGUCGAAGGUUUUGGGCGUAGGCCCAACUGGAGCUUCCGUCAGUGCAGAUCUCGGUGGUAGUAGCAAAUAUUUAAGUUCGAUCCUUGAAGACUGAAGUGGAGAAGGGUUCCACGUGAACAGUAGUUGAAUGUGGGUCAGUCGAUCCUAAGAUACUGGCUUAUGCCUUGUAUCAUCGAGAGGGAAAAGUCUCUUUUCUCUCGGAUAUCAAAAGGGAAUAGGGUUAAUAUUCCCUAACGCAGACACAGAGAUUGUGGCUCUUACGAGUCACUUGCGCGGUAACGCAUUCGAACUUGGUUACGUCGCUCAGAGACCGAGCUAGAGUUCUCUUCUCUAGUUAAGGAACGGACUCCUGGAAUCGGUUCAGCCGUAGAUAGGGACGUUGUUUCCGUAAAGCAUCGCGGUUUCUGUGAUGUCUCGUGUUCUCUGGACGGCCCUUGAAAAACCAAGGAGGCUAUUAAUCUGUGCUGCAUCGUACCGAUAUCCGCAUCAGGUCUCCAAGGUGAACAGCCUCUAGUCGAUAGAAUAAUGUAGGUAAGGGAAGUCGGCAAAUUAGAUCCGUAACUUCGGGAAAAGUUGGCUCCAGUGACCGGGUCGGUUGGCUUGUUAACUGAUGCUUGUGCGGUUUCGUCCGUGGCUGGCUGAUACUAACGUUGAUGCUGGACUAGUGACAUGACUGCCUUGUGGACGUUUUCAGGUGUGUGCUUUGUCUUCGGACUUAGUAUCCUGAUCGACCAUCAAAACGGUCGAACUGGAACUGGUACGGACUCAGGGAAUCCGACUGUCUAAUUAAAACAGAGGAGACAGAUGGUCCUUGCGGACGUUUACUGUCUCUGAUUUCUGCCCAGUGCUCUGAAUGUUAAAUCGUAGUAAUUCGAGUAAGCGCGGGUAAACGGGGGAGUAACUAUGACUCUCUUAAGGUAGCCAAAUGCCUCGUCAGUACUGACGCGCAUGAAUGGAUUAACGAGAUUUGUAACUAACACGAAAGAGGGCUUGGCUUAGCAAAAAAGAUGUUGAGCUUGACUCUAGUUUGACAUUGUGAAGAGUCAUGAGAGGUGUAGCAUAGGUGGGAGACUUCGGUCGACAAUGAAAUACCACCACUUUCAUCGAUUCUUUACUUAUUCGGUGAGAAAGAUUGAGCUUUCUUUGAAGCAAAGCCACCUGGUGGUAUUGCGACGCCGAAAGAGUGUCAGGGAGUUUGACUUUGAAACGUAAGCAGGUGUCACGGAAAGAGGCUAGAGAACAAAAGCUCGUGAUUUGACUUCAGUGAACACGAAAGUGGUGAUCCUUUUAACCAGAUGGGAUUUCUUGAGGUGAACAGAAAAGAUGGUGAUUUACUUGAGUUGUGAAAGAUAGCGACGUUGCUUUUGAA
RNAcentral lists this ribosomal RNA (2799 nucleotides) under Nippostrongylus brasiliensis. Its description in RNAcentral is "eukaryotic LSU rRNA". It matches the Rfam family "Eukaryotic large subunit ribosomal RNA", at positions 1 to 2873 of the family's 3401-position model. Lineage: Eukaryota; Metazoa; Nematoda; Chromadorea; Rhabditida; Heligmosomidae. The record is from RNAcentral.